Molecule: ribosomal RNA, 169 nt
Filed under: Basidiobolaceae sp.
Lineage: Eukaryota; Fungi; Basidiobolomycota; Basidiobolomycetes; Basidiobolales; Basidiobolaceae
Description: partial small subunit ribosomal RNA
Rfam family: Eukaryotic small subunit ribosomal RNA
Source: RNAcentral
UAAAUAGUUACACGAACCUCGGUUCGUGGCCAACUUCUUAGAGGGACUACCGGCGUUUAGCCGGUGGAAGUUUGAGGCAAUAACAGGUCUGUGAUGCCCUUAGAUGUUCUGGGCCGCACGCGCGCUACACUGACGAAGUCAGCGAGUAUAUAACCUUGGCCGGAAGGUC